AUCCAGCUAACGAGUCCCAAAUAGGACGAAACGCAUGUCCUGGAU
RNAcentral lists this non-coding RNA (45 nucleotides) under Schistosoma mansoni. Lineage: Eukaryota; Metazoa; Platyhelminthes; Trematoda; Strigeidida; Schistosomatidae. The record is from RNAcentral.